Molecule: RNA transcript, 1687 nt
Organism: Cyprinus carpio (common carp)
Lineage: Eukaryota; Metazoa; Chordata; Actinopteri; Cypriniformes; Cyprinidae
Gene name: ubiquitin-conjugating enzyme E2 E1-like
Exons: 4
Source: RefSeq, a predicted model, not a curated record
CUGUGUUGUGUUUUGUUGGUUUAUUCAGUUCUGUUCUCUGGUUUUUGUGUUUUGUUUGUUUUGCGAUUAUGUUAGCAUGCAUUUAGAGCAGACAUGGGUUUGAGGACAAGGCUCACCACAGUCUAUGCUAAACUUUUUAAAAUGAAUGGUUUUCAUGAUGUUAUCUUGAGCAGACUUCUGGAUCCUUUCAUCACUCAUUAAUGCACAUUCUAAUGUUCAACUCUUGCUCUGUUCUGGUAUGUCAGGUGACGUUUUGCAUGAUAAUCUACCACUGCAACAUCAACAGUCAGGGUGUGAUCUGUCUGGACAUCCUGAAGGACAACUGGAGCCCGGCGCUCACCAUCUCCAAAGUGCUGCUGUCCAUCUGCUCUCUCCUCACAGACUGUAACCCUGUUCAUCAUGUGGUAGAAAGCAUCGACUCGCAGCUCCUGACUGACAGAGGAGCAUGACCGCAAAGUGGACAACGCUACGCCAGAAUCUGACCCACACCCUUUAGAGCAGGGGUGUCAAACUCAAUUCCUGGAGUGCCAGAGUCCUGCAGAGUUUUCUUCCAACCCUGCUCCAGCACACGUGCAUGUAGUUUUCAUGUAGUAAUAAGCCUGAAGGACUUGAUUAGUUGGAUCAGAUGGCAGAAAAUACACCUGCUCUUCUGAUGAAAUCCUGUUUGAGUUUGAAUGAGGUUUGCUGCUCGCUGAACCAGAGACAGUUUAUUGGUCCACAGAAUCAAAACAACAAUUCUGAAUGGAAAGGAAAGAGUUAUGCAUGUGAAGCAUCAGUUGAGUGUUACACACAGUGAUCGUCUGCAAGCAAGCAGCAGUCAAACUAUCUGCCCACAUCAAUUAAACUCAGAUCAGAUUAUUUUCUGCACGCUUCCCUGCAUGCCACAUGACACUCGACCUCAGAGCCUAAAGCAGACAGACAGGAAGUAGAUUGGCUCACCUUCCUCUUUCUCUGCAUGUGUGUUUCUGCAAAGACCUGAGGUGGAAGAACAGGGGGUUUCCUAUUAAACAGGCCACAUGAGGUGGGAGAGUCGUCAUCUCAUGAAAGAAGGAAGCAACUUGACCGCAUUUUCAGUGUUGUUUACAUCACACUCAUGACCCUCUCUUCUUCUUAUUACACCAGACAGGCAGAUUUUUUUCCCACAGGCCUUCAAUAAGCACUUCUCAAAAGACCAAAAAUGAGUCGCAGGUGUCUUCUGAUGGUCGUCAAUGCCAGAGAAAAACAACAAACCUUAUAAUCAUGCAUUGGGGAGCAGAAUAAAUAGGCUUAUAAUCUUCCAGAAGGGAAGUAAAGCUCUUCCGUAUCUGUUGUUGGUGGCACAGGCUGUGUCCAGAUCUACAGCUUCACUGGUGGUCAGGAUAAAUCAGGGUUGUUUGAAACACAUUGUGUUUUUGGGACCUGAAUUAUUGGCUGCUGGGAGCACGAAAUCACUCAUUCAAGAGACGGUUAGAAACCACAGUCGUUUUUCUUUUCAGCCUUCAUUAAGAAUUUUACGAAUAGUUGGGCUUAUUUCAUUUUUUGGUAAGAAGAAUACAAUUCAGUUAUAAUUUUAAGGCUAUUUUAGUUUCUUUUGGAUGAUAAGCAAGUACACUAUUAAAAAUAAAGGUGCUUAAAAGGUUCUUCACAGCGAUCUCACAGAAUAACCAUCUCUUUCUUACCUUUUUAUAAUCUGAAGAACCUUCUUUCA